RNAcentral lists this ribosomal RNA (436 nucleotides) under uncultured bacterium. RNAcentral's name for it is "bacterial SSU rRNA". It matches the Rfam family "Bacterial small subunit ribosomal RNA", at positions 29 to 467 of the family's 1533-position model. The record is from RNAcentral.
AAUGAACGCUGGCGGCGUGCUUUACACAUGCAAGUCGAGCGAGGCCUGGGAGCAAUCCCGGAGUCGAGCGGCGAACGGGUGAGUAACGCGUGGAUGACCUGCCCUUUAGUGGGGAACAACCAGGGGAAACUCUGGCUAAUACCGCAUACGACCGGAAGGUGAAAGCGGGGUCGCAAGAUCUCGCGCUGAAGGAGGGGUCCGCGUCCGAUUAGCUAGUUGGUGGGGUAAUGGCCUACCAAGGCGACGAUCGGUAGCCGGCCUGAGAGGGUGAUCGGCCACACUGGAACUGAGACACGGUCCAGACUCCUACGGGAGGCAGCAGUGGGGAAUUUUGCGCAAUGGGCGAAAGCCUGACGCAGCAACGCCGCGUGGAGGAUGAAGGUCUUUGGAUUGUAAACUCCUGUCAGCGGGGAAAAAGGGAGGCGACCUCAUACGU